Long non-coding RNA from Marmota monax (woodchuck), 3792 nucleotides. RefSeq lists it as uncharacterized. The transcript is spliced from 2 exons. NCBI's taxonomy places the organism in Eukaryota, Metazoa, Chordata, Mammalia, Rodentia, Sciuridae. The record is from RefSeq and is a predicted model, not a curated record.
ACCUCCUCCCUACCUUUCACUUGUUUCGUUAUCUGAAGACUCACAGGGAAAUAGCAAAGGCUAAAACAGAACGAAGACUUAAAAAGAAAUUGGAUUGAAGACAAGGGUCUGCAGGCUGUGCUUACAAUGUCAAAAUGGGAAAGGGUUGCUGGAAAAGAAACUACAAGGAGGAGGAAUUGGAGACUUAUGGACAUCCAUAAACCUUCCUUGCAUGUACCACGUGGGAGAUUCUGCAUGGUACUGGCAGCAUUCAAAGAUGGAGCGCCCUUCCAGAGUUCCCAAGCUACUAGAAGGAUCCGCAUUCCCCAGAAACUACUCUCCUGGUCUCAGCAAAAGGCACUGCGAAUACACAGAAAAAAAACACUUACUUGCUCCAGGGACAAGAGGGGUUUAGGUAUGGAAGCUAUUGAGAACUAUCCUGGAUUUGCUGGCAGAAACAAUUUCACCUAAACACUGGGCUCUACAACCAAGAGAACUUGUGACCAGAAUCUGCCACUGGGCACUGAAGAAAACCUUCCCUGGAAGAAUGAAGUUCAGACUUUCCCUAAAACUCUAGACAUUAUCAUGAAUAUUAAAGUUUAAUGUUAUGUUAUUGACUUAAUAAUAAUAACUAAAAUGUUUUUGCCAGAACACCGGGCUAGCUUCCCUCUUUCAUUUAAUUCUCCCUCCAACCACCAUGUGAUAUUUAAGCACAUUCCUAUUAUUAUCUGAAUUUACAGAUAAAAGAACUGGGGCUUAGACAAGGUAUUAGUCUGGCUACACCUAAAGUAUAACCCCUAAACUUUGCUAGAACAAGUCUGUCAUGUCCUCAAGGUUGAAGUUUUGCUUUUGUCAGAAUUUAAUAGUAAUAACCACUAACACUUAUUAAGUGUUUACUGUGUACAAGGCACCAGGAUCGUCUCAUCUAAUCUCAGCAGAAUCCCAUCAUUAUUCACAUUUCACAGAUGAGAAAACAAAUGUAUUACACAACCUGGACAAGGUUCCACUGACAGUGGGUGGUAGAGCCAAGCAAGAUGUGAACCUUCAGAGUCUCUUUUCAGAGCUGCACCUAUCUUCUUUGUUGCUUCCUUUCAUUUCAUACCCUGGGGAGAGAACUCUGUAUGUUUCAACCUUAAAAAUCUCCCAAGAAACUUCUUACCAAUAGACUGGUACUGAUUAUACUUCCAAGGCCAGGUCUUUCCAGACUCACUUUAUAACCAAUAGGAAUCAACUGGAAGUAGAAAAAAAAAAUCUGGAGAGCUAAUAGACCUAGAGCCCAGGACUGUGAGAAAGAGGCACUGUUUGUGCUAUACUUAAAAAAAAAAAAUUAGGGAGUUGUCAUACUCUAUCCCAAUGGUGGGCGAGCUGAGAAACAAAUCAAAAUAAGCAGCUCAGGGACACAAGAGGAGAGUAGUUAACAUCAUUAAUCAAACAAAAACCUUUGGAUUUGGAGGAUGUCCUCCUUUUACAGUUUAUCAGCCAUGAUCAGGGAGUAGGAGCGGCAGAAGAGGGCACUAUGCCCUCAGGUCAAACAGCAAUGUCUCCUGUGCCAGGGCAGGAAAUGGCCUUGUUUUUGCUCUCUGAAAUGAACAUAAGUCCAGAAAUGUUCAAGGACUUUGCCCAUGGAAAGACCGGGACCCAGCUGCCUCACCAGAGCUAGAAGGCAGUUAAAAGCUGGCUUCUCUAACCAAGAGAAAAUUUCGCAGUUAUCUAACUAAGUUUACCAGAAAGGCAAGUUCUUGUAAGUAAACACUACAUUAGUAUGAUAUGUCAAGAUCAUUGUAUUGUCAUGAGCAACUAAUAAAAAUAAAUAAAUAAAAUGUGCAUUUUGCUCCAAAAAAAUACUACAUUAGUUCCUCCUCCCAGACCAACACAUAAAAAGAAGAGAACUGCAUUUUUUCUAUUCAUGUGUCUCUGACUAAAGCCCUAGAAUCAUCUUCCCAAAGGAUCAAGAUCUCACUUGGCCACUGCUCAGCCUAUAUUUGCUUCCCUGUGCUGAGAAGCACCCAAACUAAUAUCAGUAUUGCACUAUUCAUCAAAUCCUAAAUAUUCUACUGGAAACAUUUUCUCCCAAAGCAAAAUACCUUCUUGAUGGGACAAUCUCCAUGUCAGUACAAGGAAAACUAGAGCUUUACAGCAGGUUCAUAUCUGCGAACAUUAUCUUCCUUUGUUAUGGAAACCCAGGUCUUUUUCACGCUCUUUAUCUUGACAAAUCUACAAAUUAUCCCACAGAUACUGUUGUGGAAUCUCUUAGGAUGAGCCAUGAUUUCACAGAAAUGUCACACACUUUAUUGCUUACAAUAGAGGACCUUCCCUGUGGGAGUGGGGAGGGGAGAAGAGUAGGGAAUAAAACAGGAUAGGAGAGGGAAGUUUACCACUGGGUUUUGGAUUCAAGUCAGGUAGAACAUUACAGAGAUACCAGUGGGGGAGAAAAUACCUUCAUAGACAUUUAUACAAUUCAUAAGCAUAAUACAGACUGGGACACAUAAUAAAGACAUAUGACCUCUCACAGAAUAAAAUUAAAAACUCCUGGUUUUGACCUGCCCUGCUAGAGUCCUUAUAAGGUACCACCAUGCCUUCAACACCUGUAAAUAGAAUACUGAGAUCUCAUAUUUCUAAAUGUAGGACCGAAAGACCAGGACCCAUGUUUUUUGAUUAUAGGAUGCUCAUGACCAAUAGCCCUGAUUUAGGACCUCAUCAUGAAAAUUAAGUCUGAGUAUGAUUUUCUUUUAGGUGUAGGCUUGCCAAAUGUUAACAAAUUAAAAUAUAGGACACUCAGCUAAACAAGCAUGGUAUAUAGUUAUAUUAAAAAAUCAUUCACUAUCUGAAAUUCAAAUUUAAUGGGACAGUCUAUAUUUUCUAUUAGUGUGACAGUCUCUAUAAUACCCCUCAUCUGCCUGAGAAGACAGAUCAAGUAAAAGCUGAGAAUUCAUAUUCAACAAUGCUGAAGGAAGAAAGAAAAAAAAUAUUUCUAAUGAAUGACAAAAAGAUUGCAAAUUAAUGGAUUAUAUGAAUAUUAAGUCUUACAGUACAUUAAACCAUAAAACUGGUUGGUAUAUGACACUAAAUUAACUUUAUGCACCUCGCCAUUUCCUGAAGCACAGAACCGAAGGUUACCUGGCAUGGUAUUUAAAGUACAUAUGACAUAUGUUUAAUAAAUACCUAUUAAUUCACGAUCCUGGCAAUAUAGUCCAAGCCUGCUCAUUUUACAUUAAAAAGUAUGAAGAGUUUGGAUAAAAUAUGGACAGGAAAACACUUAGCUUGAUAAGCAAAUAAUUAAAGGAAUAACUACUUUUCCUUGAAUAAACUGCCAGUAGUAAAAGGAAAUCACAUUAUGGAAUAUAAUAAAAAAAAGUUUUCAAGAAUUCCAGUGCAACAAGAAUUCUUUCAGGAAGACAUCAGCCAAAAGGAAUAACACUUGUGUUAAUUCCGAUUGCCUGGAAGUGAACGAACAUUCUAGCACUGACACAGUUUGUUGAAGGGUGCAUCUUUUUCCUUUUAAGUCAAAAUAUUUUAUGAAGGAAAUAAUUUGCAUUGAGAAAGCUGCUGUGGGGUUCAUAGGCUAUGGAAUAUAUUUUUUAUUCAUCAAUUCUCAUAUUAUUGCCAAAGGAUCAUCUGAUAUACCUAACAUACCUACAAAUCAGCUUCAUCAGAAGUAAAAAUAAAUGAUUCAGUAGAUGGGAAAAAAUCUAAAUAAAUCUUUCUAAAACCUUCCCAAGUUUUUCAUCAAAAUACAAAAAUCAAAUGUAUUAUGAUUGUCAUGAUAAAUAUUUUCAGUUAUGUUGGCUAAUCAAUAAAUAUUCCUUAAACCCA